UGCCGCAGGGAAGCCGUUAAGCGUGCCGCCUGGGGAGUACGGCCGCAAGGCUGAAACUUAAAGGAAUUGGCGGGGGAGCACCACCAGGCGUGAAGCCUGCGGUUUAAUUGGAGUCAACGCCGGGAAUCUUACCGGGACCGACAGCAGAGUGAAGGCCAGGCUGAAGACCUUGCCAGACAAGCU
RNAcentral lists this ribosomal RNA (183 nucleotides) under uncultured archaeon. RNAcentral describes it as "partial 16S ribosomal RNA". It matches the Rfam family "Archaeal small subunit ribosomal RNA", at positions 799 to 981 of the family's 1478-position model. The record is from RNAcentral.